This 57-nucleotide microRNA precursor is filed under the name Euprymna scolopes. Its description in RNAcentral is "Esc-Mir-12551_pre stem-loop". The record is from RNAcentral. Lineage: Eukaryota; Metazoa; Mollusca; Cephalopoda; Sepiida; Sepiolidae.
UGCUAGCAAUCUAUCGUGGUUAUGUAUUGUCCUCCACCACGCUGGUAUGCUGACAGU